RNAcentral lists this ribosomal RNA (293 nucleotides) under Clostridioides difficile. RNAcentral's name for it is "partial 16S ribosomal RNA". It matches the Rfam family "Bacterial small subunit ribosomal RNA", at positions 1250 to 1533 of the family's 1533-position model. Lineage: Bacteria; Bacillati; Bacillota; Clostridia; Peptostreptococcales; Peptostreptococcaceae. The record is from RNAcentral.
CCAAGCCGUAAGGUGGAGCUAAUCCCUUAAAGAUACUCUCAGUUCGGAUUGUAGGCUGAAACUCGCCUACAUGAAGCUGGAGUUACUAGUAAUCGCAGAUCAGAAUGCUGCGGUGAAUGCGUUCCCGGGUCUUGUACACACCGCCCGUCACACCACGGGAGUUGGAGACGCCCGAAGCCGAUUAUCUAACCUUUUGGAAGAAGUCGUCGAAGGUGGAAUCAAUAACUGGGGUGAAGUCGUAACAAGGUAGCCGUAUCGGAAGGUGCGGCUGGAUCACCUCCUUUCUAAGGAGA